ACGUUCAAAAUCCCAAAUAUCUGAAGAAACUCUCUCAGUGCUUGACACAGUGUAGAUCCUCAACAAUUUCUGCCUCGACAUCCUUCUCUACCACAGUUACGAUCCCUCUGCUGCUGCUGAAAGUAAAGGCCGACCACCGGCCAAGGUUACGGCCACAGUCCCAGGCCUGGCACUUACUGCCCUGUCUGCACAGUGAGCUGGGACAAUGAGUCCACCUCGGAGCCCACCCUGAGUCCCUCAGCAUUCACCAGAUCCACACUGAGGCAGGAAGAUCUCCGCUAUGCUGCCAGAAUGGGGUCCCAGCCCACUCUCCACUCCAAGGAGCCCAGCCUUCUCGAGAUGUGGGGAGAGAGCUCAAUGGGGUGAUGGCUCUUGAUCUUUUUACUUAGAAUGUUCUCUGGCAGAUAAAAUCAAAUUCAUUUUGUUUAGGGAGUUUAGCCGAAACCCCUUGAGGAACAAAUGAAGGCAGCACACAGAAAUGCCUCCUUUCCUCUGCCUGCCAUUUUAGAGGGUCCCCAAGAGGCCAGGAAUACAGUCAACCAGAGAGAAACCCAACCAGCCAAGUCAUACGAGGGAGACGGAGACUGCCAUUGUCACAACCUUUGGACUAAAGAAUGAAGUGGAAACUGAAUUUCACUGAAGGCUGUGCUUGAGCUUUUCAAGGCCAAUAGUCUGAUCCAUGUGUUUGGUUCACAAUAUAAAUGGACAAUUGUGGUGCUGAUAAGUCACCACCCGGAAGAGCCCAAGGGUGGAAGUACCUGUUAUUGGCACAUGCUGUGUGUAAACCUUCUACUGAGACUAAGCUGGUUGCAGCAUCAUUUUCCUUCAAAUCAGGGUAAAGAUCUCCUAGAUAAGAAUGAGUUGGAAAUUAAGACCCAAAUUAAAGCACAUCUAAAGAGGUUGGUACGUGACAAAACCUCCUCAGAAUGCAGUCCAUGGAAGGUUUCCGCCGGGAUCCUGUCAAGAGAGGCGAGUUUUAAAAGGAGGCUGGGAUGGGGCCUCUCUUCCCUGAGAUCUGGGGCCUCUUCCCUAACACCUGAACCUGGUUCUGUGUGGUGGGGAGGCCAUAGCUAUUGAGGAGACAACAGACAGCAUUUGCCAUGGGUCUAUGAAUCCUCUAGCUAGGGGAGAAAAGACAAGAGGCAGCAAAGACAGACAGCUAACAAGAAUAGCAUCACCUCCACCUCCACCACCAUUUCUUGGGAGGAGACAUCAUGGAAGCCACUGUUUUCAGUACUUCGGUAAGUUAUAAACUCAUUUGGAUAACGCACCGCAAGUCGUGAAGCUACAGGUCACCAGGGCGUGUACAUGCAACCAAAGCGAUUCCCAGCUGAAGUUCUGAAAUCUCUGGUUCAGUCAAAACGCAGUAGAGGCACCCUAGCGGCCCGAGCACACAAAGAUAAACGGGAAACAGAAAUUCAGAGACCAAAUUCAGAGAGUGGAGGUGAAGAAUCUACUUACGUUCUCACUCACCCACCUAGCAAGUCUUUCUUUUAUUAACUGCUUACGAGAGGCCAGGCGCUGGGGAUGCACAUAUGAAUAAAAUGAGACCUCUGACCUUUAAGAACUCCCAGUCUAGUCUCUUCAGAACCCUCUAUUUCCACACUGUGACACUUCUGCUAGUGGAAGGGCACGUUAACCGUCUAAGAGGCUGCAGCAACGGGCAUAACCUGGAAUUCUUUCAUCAACCCUGGUUGUGUGGCCACCUUAAGUCCCCCCAAUACAGUGCAGCUCCCUGAGAGCAGGAACCAUCCACACAAACCACAGGAUGAUAAUUCGCCCUCCCCCACCAUACUAGUUCACCUAAGCUGACUUUCGGGGUCAACGGAAUUUAUUUCUGACUCUACCUCCCACCCCCUCACAACCACAUCAAGUAUUUCAGAUCAAGUAUCUGUGAAUCAUAGGUCAAGCUGAUUCAUUUCUUAAAGUUUCCGGAUUAUGAAUGAAAAUGGUAUCGAUCACCUGGAUGAGGAUCAAAUACAGGGAGAGACAGCGCGACAGUCGAGACUGGCUCUGCAUUUACUUGCAACAAUGCCAACUAGAUUUCCAGCAUUUUAUUGAGACGAGGAG
Molecule: long non-coding RNA, 2070 nt
Filed under: Equus caballus (horse)
Lineage: Eukaryota; Metazoa; Chordata; Mammalia; Perissodactyla; Equidae
Description: lncRNA (ENSECAG00000045199.1)
Source: RNAcentral